This 1390-nucleotide long non-coding RNA is filed under the name Homo sapiens (human). Its description in RNAcentral is "non-protein coding lnc-FABP7-2:1". The record is from RNAcentral. Lineage: Eukaryota; Metazoa; Chordata; Mammalia; Primates; Hominidae.
UUUAGAAGGCAGCUAUGAUCACCACUCUAUCACCAAUGUCACUAAAAUCAGUAUUCUUGAUUGCCUGCUGGAAAUAAAAAUGUAAUUGCUAAAAUACUCAGUAUAAGUUAAGUGAUACGUUACAAGUAAAGAUCUCUCAUGUGUUAAGUUUCAAGUUUCACUUAAUGUUCUUAAUAAAAUAAUGGUAAUUUGAAUUCUCUACAAAUACGUUCAGCCUGUAGUAUUCUAAUUUACAGAUGCUUGAGAACACCUAAUAUUUUUGAUUAACUUAAUGUCAAACUAUUAUCCUACCUUGUAAAUAGCAUAGAAAUUUUAACUAUAGUCUUUAAAAAAUCAAAUUUCAUUGGUAGGGAAGUGUAAAUGUAUGGUUUUUUUAAAACACAACAUUAAAAGGUUGAGGUUAUAACUUUCAUAAAGAUGAAAUCACUAUUUAAAAGCUGCACAUAGACUGAUUAUUAUUGUUUGUUUGUCUUAGAAGAUGUAUCUUUAAAUUGCUGGAAGACAUCAUGAAUAUUUUCAUUGCUAAUUAUUGGUAAAGUCUUUAGUAUAUGUCAGUUCUGUUUGUGUGGGUAUGGUUGCUGUAGUGCGGCUUAAAAAAAAACAGUGCUUCAUAUCAGUGAAAGCUCUUCUUUGGUUUAAUCUGGGUUGUGGUUAUAUUGUUUUUUCAUAUCGUGUGAGCUGAUUGCAAGGGGUUAACCCAAAAUGAGCCACUUCACUUAAAAUUAUUCUAUAUGUUAGUUUGUGAAUUCUGUUGUUGGUAUUUAAACGUACAUCAUAGUUUAAUCAUAUCACAUAAAGUUGUGAUUUCAGGAAUACUUUAUAUUUCUUUUGCUGUUUUUGCUUGUGACAAUUGACUGGUCCACCACAUAGAAUUUCUUAGUCUUUCUAACACUAGGUGAACAUUUGAACUGACCAGAUGAUUUUAUGGAAACAGCAUGAGACAGUGGAAGUCAAAUCUCUAUUCUGUACCUUGCUUUGCCCCUUUCUGGCUACAGGAGCCUCAGAAGUCAUUCAGAGAUGCAGCAAAGUGCAGGGGAUCAAACCAUUGAUCGCUGAAUUUGAGUCUUACUUUUGUCAUUUAUUAUUAGCUGUGUGACAGCUAGUAAAUUAACUUAAUCUCUCUGUCUCUGUGUUUUCAUUUGUAAAUGGUAUUAAUAUUAGUGCCUCUCCCCCAGCGUUCUUAAGAAGAUUAAAGCGGUUGAUAUUUGUAAAGUACUUAGAAUAUUGCCUGUACAGCUAAUUAUUUAAUAACAUUUUAAUGUGAUGUGACCUCAUUAGAUCUGAUGUCUACAAACAGUACUUUGAGUUUGAGAAUUGUUAUCAUUUUAAGUGUUUCUUGCCUUUGUUUUCAAUACAUCUUGAAAUUAUUAAACUUAAACUGGUGAAAACA